Molecule: transfer RNA, 72 nt
Filed under: Aedes aegypti (yellow fever mosquito)
Lineage: Eukaryota; Metazoa; Arthropoda; Insecta; Diptera; Culicidae
Rfam family: tRNA
About the family: Transfer RNA (tRNA) molecules are approximately 80 nucleotides in length. Their secondary structure includes four short double-helical elements and three loops (D, anti-codon, and T loops).
Source: Rfam by way of RNAcentral
GGCUCGGUAGCUUAGUUGGUAAAGCGUUCGUCUAGCAUACGAGAGUCCUGGGUUCGAAACUCUGCCGCUCUG